This 253-nucleotide ribosomal RNA is filed under the name uncultured bacterium. RNAcentral describes it as "partial 16S ribosomal RNA". It matches the Rfam family "Bacterial small subunit ribosomal RNA", at positions 524 to 776 of the family's 1533-position model. The record is from RNAcentral.
UACGUAGGAGGCGAGCGUUGUCCGGAAUUACUGGGCGUAAAGGGCGUGCAGGCGGUUUGUUAAGUGCAGGGUGAAAGCUCCCGGCUCAACUGGGAGAGGUCCUUGCAUACUGGCGAACUCGAGGGAGGCAGAGGAAAGUGGAAUUCCCGGUGUAGUGGUGAUAUGCGUAGAUAUCGGGAGGAACACCUGUGGCGAAGGCGGCUUUCUGGGCCUUACCUGACGCUGAGACGCGAAAGCGUGGGGAGCGAACCGG